RNAcentral lists this non-coding RNA (202 nucleotides) under Metapseudomonas resinovorans. The record is from RNAcentral. Lineage: Bacteria; Pseudomonadati; Pseudomonadota; Gammaproteobacteria; Pseudomonadales; Pseudomonadaceae.
UGCCUCAGGUGCCCCCUUGGUUUCGACCCAGGGAGUGAAACAGGGAAGCCGGUCCAUUCCUUCGAAGAAUCCGGCGCUGCCCCCGCAACGGUAGGCGAGUAGAACGCCGCAAUCGGCCACUGUGCACUGCACGGGAAGGCGCGGCACGGGAGCUCAGGCUCCACUCGCAAGCCCGGAGACCGGCCUGGUGCAAGCAGGGCAU